Molecule: ribosomal RNA, 253 nt
Filed under: uncultured bacterium
Lineage: Bacteria
Description: partial 16S ribosomal RNA
Rfam family: Bacterial small subunit ribosomal RNA
Source: RNAcentral
UACGUAGGGCGCAAGCGUUGUCCGGAAUUAUUGGGCGUAAAGAGCUCGUAGGCGGCCUGUUGCGUCCGCUGUGAAAUCCCGGGGCUUAACCCCGGGCCUGCAGUGGAUACGGGCAGGCUGGAGGCAGGCAGGGGAGAACGGAAUUCCCGGUGUAGCGGUGAAAUGCGCAGAUAUCGGGAGGAACACCGGUGGCGAAGGCGGGUCUCUGGGCCGAUAUUGACGCUGAGGAGCGAAAGCGUGGGGAGCGAACAGG